CAGCACCCUGUGUGAAAUCAAGCAGUCUGAUCACGGAGGUCCAUCGGUUGCAACUCUGGAGAUAUAGGUUUAGAAGAAGACGAUGAGAUUCAUGUAGAAAUCCUUACCUCCGUCACAACCAACCACCAAGGUCAGCAAUUCAUAACAAUAAAACUAGC
Long non-coding RNA from Brassica oleracea var. oleracea, 158 nucleotides. RefSeq lists it as uncharacterized. Lineage: Eukaryota; Viridiplantae; Streptophyta; Magnoliopsida; Brassicales; Brassicaceae. The transcript has 3 exons. The record is from RefSeq and is a predicted model, not a curated record.